AUGACUAUACUUUCAGGAUCAUUUCUAUAGUAUGUUAUUAGAGAAGUGAGAUUGAAAGUGAUGAGAUGGCUUAAUGAGUCUAUCCCAGA
This 89-nucleotide small nucleolar RNA is filed under the name Ornithorhynchus anatinus (platypus). RNAcentral's name for it is "Small nucleolar RNA U3 (ENSOANG00000048892.1)". It matches the Rfam family "Small nucleolar RNA U3", at positions 1 to 108 of the family's 219-position model. Rfam says of the family: Small nucleolar RNAs (snoRNAs) are involved in the processing and modification of rRNA in the nucleolus. Lineage: Eukaryota; Metazoa; Chordata; Mammalia; Monotremata; Ornithorhynchidae. The record is from Rfam by way of RNAcentral.